GAUGAACGCUGGCGGCGUGCUUAACACAUGCAAGUCGAACGGUGAAGCCCAGCUUGCUGGGUGGAUCAGUGGCGAACGGGUGAGUAACACGUGAGCAACCUGCCCCUGACUCUGGGACAAGCGCUGGAAACGGCGUCUAAUACUGGAUACGAGACGUGAUCGCAUGGUCAACGUUUGGAAAGAUUUUUUCGGUUGGGGAUGGGCUCGCGGCCUAUCAGCUUGUUGGUGAGGUAAUGGCUCACCAAGGCGUCGACGGGUAGCCGGCCUGAGAGGGUGACCGGCCACACUGGGACUGAGACACGGCCCAGACUCCUACGGGAGGCAGCAGUGGGGAAUAUUGCACAAUGGGCGCAAGCCUGAUGCAGCAACGCCGCGUGAGGGAUGACGGCCUUCGGGUUGUAAACCUCUUUUAGCAGGGAAGAAGCGAGAGUGACGGUACCUGCAGAAAAAGCACCGGCUAACUACGUGCCAGCAGCCGCGGUAAUACGUAGGGUGCAAGCGUUAUCCGGAAUUAUUGGGCGUAAAGAGCUCGUAGGCGGUUUGUCGCGUCUGCUGUGAAAUCUGGGGGCUCAACCCCCAGCCUGCAGUGGGUACGGGCAGACUAGAGUGCGGUAGGGGAGAUUGGAAUUCCUGGUGUAGCGGUGGAAUGCGCAGAUAUCAGGAGGAACACCGAUGGCGAAGGCAGAUCUCUGGGCCGUAACUGACGCUGAGGAGCGAAAGGGUGGGGAGCAAACAGGCUUAGAUACCCUGGUAGUCCACCCCGUAAACGUUGGGAACUAGUUGUGGGGUCCAUUCCACGGAUUCCGUGACGCAGCUAACGCAUUAAGUUCCCCGCCUGGGGAGUACGGCCGCAAGGCUAAAACUCAAAGGAAUUGACGGGGACCCGCACAAGCGGCGGAGCAUGCGGAUUAAUUCGAUGCAACGCGGAGAACCUUACCAAGGCUUGACAUAUACGAGAACGGGCCAGAAAUGGUCAACUCUUUGGACACUCGUAAACAGGUGGUGCAUGGUUGUCGUCAGCUCGUGUCGUGAGAUGUUGGGUUAAGUCCCGCAACGAGCGCAACCCUCGUUCUAUGUUGCCAGCACGUAAUGGUGGGAACUCAUGGGAUACUGCCGGGGUCAACUCGGAGGAAGGUGGGGAUGACGUCAAAUCAUCAUGCCCCUUAUGUCUUGGGCUUCACGCAUGCUACAAUGGCCGGUACAAUGGGCUGCAAUACCGUGAGGUGGAGCGAAUCCCAAAAAGCCGGUCCCAGUUCGGAUUGAGGUCUGCAACUCGACCUCAUGAAGUCGGAGUCGCUAGUAAUCGCAGAUCAGCAACGCUGCGGUGAAUACGUUCCCGGGUCU
This 1344-nucleotide ribosomal RNA is filed under the name uncultured bacterium. RNAcentral describes it as "bacterial SSU rRNA". It matches the Rfam family "Bacterial small subunit ribosomal RNA", at positions 28 to 1381 of the family's 1533-position model. The record is from RNAcentral.